Long non-coding RNA from Cavia porcellus (domestic guinea pig), 14703 nucleotides. RefSeq lists it as uncharacterized. Lineage: Eukaryota; Metazoa; Chordata; Mammalia; Rodentia; Caviidae. The transcript is spliced from 5 exons. The record is from RefSeq and is a predicted model, not a curated record.
GAUUCACACCAUAACAGAGUGACAGCAUGAUGAAAGCUGUGUUCAGAGAGGAAGGAGGAAAGGAAUACCAGAGCCCGUGUGGAUAGUGAGGAUUUAUACUUGGUCCUCCUAAAUCUCCCUGCGUGACAUUGCUCCAGAAUUUCCAAUUUUAAUCCAAGUGAGAAGGAGCUCAGCAGGUGUGAGGUGAAUAACACCAAGUUGCAGGUAACCUUGCAAGGACAAGGACACUGAUCACUGCGAGGACCCAGGAUACCUCCUCUGCCCCUAAAGCUGUGGGAAGAAACAAAUAUAGAGAGCUGAGUCCAGGAAGCAUGUGGAGUGAUGGGUAAGGACUCUAGAAGAGCAGCCCCUGCAGUUGUGGGAAGAAAAACAAAGUAAGUCACAAGCAGACAGAAACUGUGUCACUCCUCACAAGAAUCAGUUUGUUCUUCACGGUCAUCAAACCCUGGGAAUUUUAUAGAGGAAAACCACAAGGUGAGACCAUCCAAGGUGCAGAAAACAUGGCAACUUGCAAGCAGGAGGUGUCUGUCUGGCCCACAGUUGCAAGUUAUUUGACCUUCUGCCCUGGUUCCUUGGAAGACCUAGCCCUGUUAGACUGCCUAUAAUAUUUCUGUCAAACUCAGUUGCCUCUAACAUGUCAUAAGACAUGAUGAGGCACCCAGGCCUGACAAGGUAGCUGCAGAAGCCUACAAGAAAGAAUUCAUGAAACUCCUGAGGCAGAGGAAUACAUUGCUCAACAAGUGAUCUACUGUGAUGAAAUAGGGCUCUUCUGAAAGAGGAUACUAAAGAGAACCUGUCAUGCAGGAGAAAAAGGCACUGCUGGGGAAUAAAGUCAUGAAAGGCAGAUUGACUCUCAUGAUGUGAGUGACAGCAAGUGCCAGUCUGGACAUUAAAUCAGUAUGGGUGCACUGUUCCCAGAACCUUCAUGCAUUGAAGGGCCAGAAUGCAAGCAUGGCCAGACUGCAUGUCAUGGGGAUGGCCAGUAUGAAAAUUUGAGUCCCAAGGUAAUUGUUCAUGGAAUGACUGCAGGAGGUCUUUGUACCCAUCAUUAAGAAAUAUUUUUUUGGCAACCUGGUGCCUGAGAGUACCUUCUUCUGAUGGGCAAUGCCUUGGCCUACUCUCCAGCCUUGGUGGAUGACAUGAAUGCUGAAUAUGAUGUCACAAAGGUCAAGUCCCUCACCCCAAACACAAUAUCUCUUCUGUAGUCCAUGGAACAUCAAGUGAUCUGCAACUUCAGGAAGCUGUAGACAAAUGGGCUCUUCACUAGGAAUUUUAAUGUCAUUGAAGAAACAUUUUGACUCUAAAGAGUUUUAGAAGAAACAUUUCAUUGUCAUUGUUGUAGUCAGGGGUUGUACACAGAACAAUCAGGACAUGGAGUUUAUAAUAUUAUUUUUGAUGGUCACACAGAGUUAACACAAGAAAUCUAUCCACAAUAAAGACAUGGAAUAUUUAGCCCUAGGCUUGAAUCUCACAGAAAUGUCUCACGUGAGUCCUGAUGAAAACCCAGUGCUCAUGACAGUGCCUCCCACGAGUCCAAUUGGAGGUAUAGAUCCCACAAGGACUCAGUCCAGUCUCUUUUACAGAUUCAUGAUGGGAAGACCCAACGGUUAGUUUAGGGGUGGUAGCUAGGAAGUCUAUGCCAGCUGGGUGAAGGAGCUGUGCUGGUGGGAUGAGGGUUCUACACUGGAGCUGAGAAGUCAUACAACAAAAACCAGGGCUGUCCUGCAAAGCAUCACAGCCUUCCUCAGUGCCAUGGAGGCCCCGAGCUCCUCUGACUACAAGCACAAUUGAGUACAUGCCAGGAAGCCAGUGUGAUGAAUUCAUCCUGAAUACCAAGUGGCACAUGUCUUCCCUUCCGGAGCCAGAAAGCAAUGCUCAAUGUGAGGACCAGAGCUUCUCCAGGAAAGCCUAAUGGCUCAAACAGCAACACAUAGGAGAACCCAUAAUGCAACUUAAUGCCUCAAAGCCUAGCUUCUCCUUCUCCAUGUCUCUAUUUAUGCUGACAACUUUCCUCAGGUGGAACAUCUGCACUCAGCAGCAUGGUGAUAUAAUCUGGUUGGCGUUAAGUUGACCACCUGUUUUCAACCCAUAACAGUCAUCUUUUAAAUCAACAUCAUUGACAAAAUGUGAGAAAAUGUCACAUUGUAUACCAAAAGGAUGUGACUCUGAAGGGCCUGAUGGACAGGUAGUGAAGGAGAUUGUGUCCAUGGACAAAAGUGCGGGUCUGGAUUUCAAAGAUACAGGUAUAGAGGAGCAUGUUGAUGGCCAUAAGGCUGAGCUGACAACCUAAGAAUUUGCUGAAUGCCAGAGUGAGAAGUACAGAAGCUGCUUUUCAAACACCAUUCCCCUGAGGAAGUGGGAGACAAGGAGGAGGGUAAAAUAAAUAUGAAAAUAUCCAUUCUGCAAAAAUAGAAUGAGUGCCAGGCUUUCUUUACGUAGCACCACCUCAACAUAACUGUAACAGAGUGUUGGAUCUAAUGUAUGCUAAUGUAUUCUCUCAUUUCAAGAGGGUACCAUAGUGCAGGAAAAAACAAGUGAUACUGAACAGAAUUUUGACACAGCUGCUAAGAGAUAGAGGAAAUUCUGGAGAUCCUCCAGACGUCCUUAUGAAGGGAGAUUCUCCUCCUCACCCACAUUUCUGUUCUCAAGCAAGACUGGCAUGCCUCCUCUUCAACUGUACUGUACUGUCCUUUGUUUCAAUUUUUUAGUUAAAAAAUGUAUUGGCUAAGAAUGGAUUAACAUUAUUUGCAUUGAACCUUAUGGGGAAAUUUGAUUUUGUUCAUGAUCGAUUCUGUUUUCACUCACAGUAUUGAAAUGAAUUGAGUUUGUGAACCAAGGUGUCACUGUAGGCCAUAACCCAAGAUCUUUCUCUGACUGACUCCAUGACACAUUGCAAUAAGUAAUCAGAAAGGCCAGGGAUUUAGCUCAGUGGCAUAGGUGCCUGCCUGGCAAGCACAAGGUCAUGAGUUUGAUCCCCAGUAACAAGAAAAUGAUUAACUAAACAAAUAAAAUAAGUAACCAAAAAAUUCUCAAUGAUCUUUCUUUAAUUUUUAACUUAAAGAAUUACUGAUCAAUAGUCUUCCUUGGAAUUUUUUGCUUUUCUACACUAUGCUUUCUUAUCUAUGUCUUUUCUUCACAAUAUUUAUCAACAUCUGUGCUUUGAUGUCAUGGAAAGCAAUUGAGGAUUUCUACAGAAGACAGGGAGACCUCCACUCACAGCACACAUGGCAUGGGUUUUGGAUUCACUGACUUCCUUCAGGGAGACUUUUCAUUGAGAGGGAUAAAAACCCCUUAGGUAGAAUUUAAAAUGCACACAUUUACAGGGAAUUAAGUACAGGCCCUCAAGAGUGGUGCCUGAUGCUCUGGAGCUGGGUAUAUUAAUGCAAUCUUGUAAUGUCAUCAAGAUAAGUGAUCUGGGAUAUGUAUUUCUGUUCUCUGUCUGGUUAACUAUUGGAGGUAUAUAUUAAAAUACAAAUUGUUUUCAUGUGUUUGAAGGUGAAAUAUGUUGUUCAUUAAUAUUGCUGCUUCCUUGAAGAUAGAAGUCUGUAGGAGAAAGGAUAGUUUAUAUCACAGGCUUAGAGCCCAAUUUAUAGCUUUAUUGUGUCUGUAGGACCUUUAAGAAUUAUUUGGAGGGAAGCUUUUGUAAAGGUAAAAGUACUUUUGUGUCCUGAGGCUACAAAUUCUCUUAGAAGUACAAUUUUAAAUUACAAUUUUUCUUUUCUCCUUUCUACUUGUAUUUUUUCUUUCCUAACUCAAAGAUACCUAUUUCUAUGAUUAAUUUUAUAAUUUCAUCUCUGUCCUUGAGCUGAGAUACUUUAAUGCAGAGACUCAAUGUUUACCUGCAUUGUACUGUGAAGCCUAGUUCAUAAUGUUCUUCUUAGGUGUGAUAAUUAAAUAUUUGUUGGCAAAAUAUAAAUAUAUGUAAACACAUACAUGUACUUUAUGUCCGUAAGAAAUAUUUUAGCAGUGCUUUUAAAUGUUUACUUCUACAAAACUUGAAACUUGUUGAUAGCGAUAUUCAUAAUGCCAUUAAUUAAGAUUUUUAAAAUUGAAUGUUCUCUAAUAUGUGCCCCUACCUAGAUUUUUAUGGUCAACUAGAUGGUAUGGUUUAGAAUAUGAGAAUGCCCUAACUAAAUGUUAGCCAAUCUGUGUUUACUGAUAACCUAUGACAGGCUCUGUAUUUAAUCCUUGGAUACCUAAAGGAAUCCAAGCUCAGUGGUGGGAUGUACUCUAAUGUACAAUCAGAGAUAUAACUUCACUACAGGAUAUCAUCCUUUUAAGAAAUCUCAAAAACUGAUCUUGAGUAUGAGAAAAUCUCAUGGAAAAUAUGUUUUGUUGCUUGUUCAUUAAUCUUUUCCCAAGCAUAAAAAUUUUACUUACUGUAACUCGAAAGUCAACAUUUCAGAAGUUUUUUGUCUGGGUCCCCAGUUUUUCUAUUUUUUCUUUUGUUUACCAUUCAUUUUUUUCUCUUAUUAAUUCAAGAAGAUUUAUUAAGCAUUUAUUUUUUUUGUGUGUUAGACACUCAUUGUACCACUAGGGAUCCAGAUGUGAAUGAAACAGCCAACAAACAAAACAGCAAAAAUGUCUUCUUCAUAUAGUUUAUAGUCCAAUGGAAAUAUUUGAGACCCAGAAUAAUGGCAAAGGAGUUGUCUAAUGAAUAAAGGACAUUUUUGUCCCAGGUAUUUCAUCUAAUUUGAAAAGGCUGAAAUGAAAGUAUAUGAAUAAAAUCCCAAUAUAUAAGAAUAUUCUACAUGACUCAGCUAUUAGUUGUGGAUUCCUUUCAGAUUCUUAUGAAAUUAAUUCAUUUCCUUUGCCGUAACAUGGAAAUCUCCAUUAUCCAUCCAGCUUCUAAUCUUUGGUUUGGUGUGGCCCAGAUGAUUGUUUAUUCUUGGAUUCAUUAAGUUCUGAAUUUUUAACUUCUAUUGUGUUAUCUUAAAAAGUUGUGGGUUGACCUAAAUAUGGAACCUAGCUUCUUGAACUGAAAUUCUACAAACAAGAGUAUGGAGAAAUUUUGCAAUCCUAGUUUACUUACCACUUCUGUGAAACCCCCCAGUACUCUCAGCCACCCUGCUUGCUCUCCUACUGGGAAAGACAGUGUCUACAUAGUCAUGUGCAAAUACAUUACCACUGGAGCCUACAUGCUCAGCAUUCUCUGCUUGGGUUUAUCCACUUUUUAUUUUUAUGAAGUUUUUCUUUGUAUUUAUCUUAUUUUGUUUCUUCUGCACCUACCCUAAAUAAAAUAUAAGUUCCAAGAGAUCAGGGAUUUCUUGUUUAAUAUUAUUUAUUCUAAGUCAUACUGAUGCUAGUGGCCAACACACUGUAGUCUGUGGGCAAAUCUAGCCUUGCCAUCUGUUUUUGUAUAACAUGUGAGCAUAAGGAGGUUUUAUGUUUUAAACAUAAUUGUAUUUGCAUUAUGUGAUAAAUUUGUAUAAGGUUAAAAAUGUAAGUAAAGCUAAAAUGUCAUUUUUCUAAUUGAUGUAACCUAAUUCCGUAGACAAAGAUACACAAAGAAGUUUAUUUAGCUCAGUUUUGUAGGUCAUAGGUCCAAGAUCUGGUGGGUCCAUUUUUAUGGUCACUGGUGAAGACCUUAUGGCAUAUGAAAUCAUGAUGAGAAUAUGUGUAAGAUGAACCAUGUGGUGAUGCAGAAGGUCAGAGUUGGGGCAAAGUUGCCUUGCUUUUUACUCCAACUCUCACUCUUGAGAUGUCACUCUGUAAGACCAGUAUUAGGGACUUUCAAGUGCAGUACAGCCCUGAUCCCUCCUGGCCCACCUUUUAAAGGUCCAGCACCUCUCGAUAGCACCACGCAGAAGAGUAAGCUUCUCACACAAGAACCUGUGGGUCACAAAACACAGCCAGACAGUAACACUGCCUGCUUUGUUUCACACUGCUAUCUCCACUAAUUUUGGUGCAGACUAAGACUUUCUUUGUGCCAUCAAGGCAGAAUGAUUGUAGCAGAAACUGCACUGACUUCCUGUUCCUUUACAGAAUCCUUUGCCAAACUUAGAUUGGAGGUUCUACGGGCAGGGAUUAAAGUAAUAGUUCUGAAUUUUAAGUCCAAAAAAGAGUUAUCCCUACUGAAUUAAUUAGUUUUCUCUAUUAAAAACACUUUUAUUCAUUGAGUCUUGGAGUUUUCAACUCAACCUAAAGGAAGAGUUUUAUCCAUACUGUAAAUCAAAACAAAACAAAAAAUUGUGAGAAUUAAAUUAAAUGUUAAAAAAAAAAGACUUUGAAUUCUGCUAAACUUCUAAAUUUAUGUGGCAAUUGAGAUUGAAGGGAGAGAGUCUAACUAUUACAGAGUUUCUGGAAUGUUCAAAGGUUUUCAUAUCUUACUGGAAAGGAGAAAAGAAUGAAUGUUUACAAAGAAGUCUUCCAGCUGACUGUACACUUAUUAUAUAAUUGUAUUAAUAUAACAAUCAUAAUAUAAACAUUGACUAAACAAAAGUAGCAUAAAAUGCCCAAGCUUUCAAGGAAUAGGGGAGCUUUCAAUGGGACAUCAUUUAAUAUAAUGGCUGAGCCUCAAGCGAAUAAAGCAGAAAAGAAAGGAGCAAUUGGUUUAAUACACUUGAUCCAAUCAGUAACCCUUUCUGAACCUCAGUUUUCACAUUGAUUAAAUGGAAAAAUUAAAACUUCCCUUUCUUUUAUUAAAUCAUUUUGAAACUUAGAUGAAAGAUAUAAUAGCCUGUCUAUUUCAACAUACUUUCCAAUCGCCUAGAGUAUGCUGAUGAGAUAAAGUACAUGGUUCUAAAAGAAAUUUUAAAACAAAAACUAUGCCAAAGCAAUGUGCUGCUGGUUCCAGCUCCGGGCAUCCCAGAGUGUGAUCUAGAGGGUAAACUUCAAAAUAUAGAUGAUUAAAUUCUACAAAUCAACUCAAAACUGCAAAACAGAUGAAAGUGUCAUUGUGAUUAAGCAAUAGAGUGCAUUUUAACGCUUACAUAAUAAACCCGAUUGAGUACAUCGCAUUCCUAUCAGCAGAGCAAGCAGUCGGAUAUGGCCCAUUAAUGUGAGCUACAGUGUCUGAGAGAUGCCAGUUCCAAAGAUAGAUUAAUAAUCCUCACUCAUCACGGUGGAGAUUGCCUUGGAACCCCUCCAAGUUGCUCUUUUCAGGAAACUGAAGUUGAGUUCAGGUCUACAGGAGCAAAAUAAAUUGGAUGGUAAAGCCAAGAUUUAACAUAAUUAAGCCAACUACCUUCUAAAUCCUUGCAAGGAUCUAAGAUUCUCAGGGGCUCUCAGAGUUUGGUUGUAGCAGAUUUACUUGUGGGAAUUCAUUCCUAAUAGAAAUGAGUGCAGAUCGUUGAGUACAGAUCCUGAGAAAGAGAAGAGAAAGGAAUUUUGUGCUGAUUUUCUAAAGAAUUCCUAUCCUUAGCCUCUCAGUCAUUUCUCUCUCUCUCUCUUUUUCUUUCUUUCUUUGCCUCGUUUGGUAGUUCAGUAAUCUUCUUAUCCAUUUAAUGAUAGAAAAAUGUCAUUUUACAUUGUAUUCUAUAUUCACAGUAUUUAUUUGUAAACAAAAUGAACUGAAUCAUUAUCUUUGAAGUACACACAGCACAUAAGAUCCACCUCCUCAAUUUUCAUUUCCUAUUAAUGACCAUCUUUAUUUUGAAGUCCAGUUUAAGCUUUCUAAGACUGGUAUCCCCAGGAUCAAAUGGACUCAAAAGGGGUUCAUGUUCUCCUUGAUAAUCUUUCAACAUGCUUUCAAUUGUUUCACUGUAAAUAUUAUUUUAAAAAUAUAUUAUUUUAGAACACAACUGUAUGUUGUACAGUAUACUGUGUAUAAACUAUUAGUGGUAAUAAAAUUAACUUACUAUUAAGAAAUUUUAAUUCUGAUGAAAAUGAUUGAAAAUAAAUAAUACUAAUAUAUAAUGGACUGAAAAAAUUCAAAGCAACUGAGUACUCAUAGUCAUGUGUUUGAAGUUUUAGAAAAUUCUUUAGGAAAAAAAUAAUGUUUCUACUAAAAGCACUGAAUUGAAAUAUUAAUGUUAACUAAUCUCAAAAUGUAUUUGGACAGAAGAUCUUAAAAAAUAAUCUGGCAAAUAGAUAAUUAAUGUUAGUUUUAACCCAAUACAGCUGAAGUCCAAAAAUAGAAGGACUUGGAACAUAGGGAGAGCCACAAAAAAACACAGGGAGGAAUUGGGGGAAACAAUUUUACUGCUACUUGAUUUAAGACUUUUAACCCUGAAAUUGUUAGAAAUGAAUUGGUGUUGUGAAAAUCAUCCAGGCUGUGAGAUUUUCUUUUGGCAAAUCUAGAAAAUGAAUGGAGAGAGACCAGAUGGAACUUCAUGUUCUCUGAGAAGUCUUCCCUUACAUAUUCCAUUUUCAUUGCUUUUGCUACAAAUCUGAAUUUCUUGUGUUUUUUCCUUAUUUUUAUUUUGUCACAGUUUGUGGUGCUCUUCUUGCCAUGUAUCCCUCAUAUUCAUUGUGCUAAUUCUCUUAUGGAAAGAUUUGUGGAGCAAAGGAAAUAAGUGGCAUCAAGCCAACCGGGGGACUCUGAUUUAGCUUCUGUCUUGGGCACCUUAAAUGAGUGGUCUCUCAGUUUUGUGCUUCUCUGUCUCGAAAGGAGCCUGAAGGAAGUAUAUACCUUCCUGCUUGACUAUCAGGAGCAAAUAUAAGAUUACAAUUCAAAUGUGUGCUAAUCACUGUGUUCAUAUUUUGCUAUGUAUUAAAUUUAAACAUCUAUAGGCUAUUUAUUUCAUUUCAAUCAAAUUGAUUCGUGAAAGAAAAUGUUUAUAUUGAAUCCAAGUCUUUCACAGGUACAUUUCACCCUUUAACAUAAGUUACAAUCUAAGAAUCAGGGUGGAAUAUCUCUCUCUAGAGUGAGAAAGUCAAUUAAGUAACUUUUCUCCAUGUUGUUCAGUUUCUACACUUUUCUUUUUUUCUUGGGAUGAGGUUCCACUGAUUGACAGAAACAGAAACUCACCUUUAAGUGGUCACCCUUGAGAAAUUGAAUACAGCAGGAAUAGUCAGGAUUUGCCAUGAUGUUGAUUUGGAAAAUAUGAUUUGGAAGAUCUAGAAGUAUGUGAGAAGUUAACUGAUGUCCCAGAAUAAAGUUGGUAGGAUCAAAAGGAAAAUGGAAAAUGAAAGAACAUGAGAGACAGCAACAAGCCAUGAUGAAAAGAGAGUGGAUAAAGUUCCAGGGAUGUUUAUCAGUGUUACUGUGUUAUUAACUGUGGUGGCAACUCGGAUUAAGAAACACCAAGCAGAUUAGUAAAACAUGAUUCUAGGUGUGUCUGGAUGACUGAUAUGUAUGAAACCAAAGAGAGAAGACCCGCAUUGGAUGUGCGUGACAUCAGCCAAUAGGCUAGUGCCUGUUUGUAGCAAAAAAGGGAAAGAAGGAAUUCUCUCUGUUUGCUUUUUUGGAGGCGCUCCUGUCCAGGUCAGUAUCUUUGGACUGCAUCUCCUGUUCAUUCCAGCUUCCAGCACAGACUCUUCAGCUAUUCAGUGCAGGCCCCACCACAUUCUGCUAUGAACUCAGGCAUUGGACCUUUCUGUCCAGUGCACUGAUAGCCUGUUUGCAUUCUUCACCCUGGCUCCUGUGGGAGUCAGCACUGAAAAUGUACAUUCAAAACUGUUUGCAUCUAGGCUGUAAAUGUGGCCCUCCUGACAGGUCAGCUAUGGGCUCUGCAGAUGAAGAAUGGCUUGACCUGGAGGGAGACCACAGCCUUACAGCCAGGAUGUGAGCACAUGUUCUGUUCGGUUCCCAAGCCUCUCUUUUUAGCCUACCAGCCCCAUUCCCAGUGCUGUGAGCUCAAGUGUAAAUAAUGUACUUUUCUCAAGCUAUCUCUUGAAUUUCUCUAAGAGUGCCUUUGUUCUUUUUGUGUACUUGAAAGAGAAUAUCCCUUUAAUAAGCAGAGUGUUCAUCUUGCUUCUUUUCAUGUCACCAAUCUUUCAUAGUGUCACAUCAGUUACUGUUGAUCAGCUCCUAUAUAAAUAACUGGAGAUUAUGUCUCUGCAGGUGUCCGUUGUAAACUUGCUUAAUAAAAUCUUUAUAUCCCACAUAAGUUUUUAUAUGAAAUCUGUUCUUCUAAUGAGUCAUUCAUAAUGCAGUUAAUAUUAUCUGCAUGUUUUCCUAAGUCUCUUACAAAAAUGUAACUUUUCUUAAUUCAAAACUAUGUGCAUUUGAUGAAAUUUAUCAAAUCAAGAUAAUUAAACAGAAAAUAUUUGAAAAUACCUAGAAUCCAGUUAUUCAAGAAGAAACAGUAUUUUGAAGUUCUUUAACAAAAAAAUGUGAUUUGGAGUAAUUCACAAAUGCAGUAUCAUACUAUAAGAACUAUUUAUAAACUACUUUUUACACCUUAGGAUGGUCAACUUUAAAUAUCCCUACGUGUACACACAAACUUUGUAUGGGAAAUAAGAAUUUGGCUAUGUAAUUGGUACAAUGUGAAGGUGAUAGGUCUUUGUAGAAGACAAUUUGUUAGUGCAGCAAAAGCCAAAUGUCAAUCAGUUGUUUUUCUCAUUAUAGUGGUCUCAUUGAUGCUUUAGUGUGCAUUUUUUAUGAGAAUUUCCAAAAAUAUAUCCCACCUAUUCCAUUGACUAUGUCCAUUUAUUUCUGGUGCUAAUCAUAACUUUUACCUUUCAUUCCAGUUUUCAUUAUUCCUUUAUUUAAAAUGUUGUAGAAUAUCAGCAUCACAUUAACUAUUUAUGAUCCUGAGUAGUCACCAUAUUAAAUAUAACAGUACGAUGUACUAAAAAUUAUCUGUUCCUCAGCGAAUACAGGACAGAGAACCUGGGCUAUGAAUUUGCAGUCUUCAGCCCCCUCAUGUACUAUGUGCAACUCCUCCUCUUGCCUCAUCCUUCUCAUUGACAGAUGGGUGUUUAUACAUUAAAAUCAUUAAUCCACUUUGAUUUAUUUUUGUGAUUUGUUGUUUGUUUGGUAAAGUUUCAUUACAUAGAUUCUCAUUCCUCCUUAUAAUGACAGAUUAAGUCAGAUCAUUCCUAUUAUGAAAAGUAUGAAUUCACAGAUUUUUAAAAAUUAACAAGGAAGGAAAAUUAAAGGACAAUAUAAUAAAAAAUAAUAUCCUAAUGAGAUAUAGAGACCACUUGUGUUAUUUUUUUUGAAGUUCGCACAUAAGAUUUUGAAAUCAGAUCAAUAUUUACCAAAAGGCAAAGAAUGGAUAAAUUUCAAUUCAGCUUAAUCCUAAAACUCAGUGUAUUCUUGGAAGGCUUAACUAUCCCUUGAAUUCAUUCAAUAGGUUAAUUGAAUUAUGUGGUUUCAACCAAUGGCAUUUUUAUUCAUUUCUCUCCAGAGGAGUUUGAACGUAUUGAGCUCUUUCACCAGAGGUCAAAUAGUAAUAGCUCCUGGGAUCAAUUAGUGAGCCACCUAAUUAGAUUUGAUUAAUUGUCUCUGAACCAUGACUUGCUCUGGUGUAUGUGAUGCCUCUUUAGCAUAGGAGCUGCACUGACUAACUUGGCACUGAUGGGAAGAUCACAAUGUAAUGUUUUCUGCACAUGCACAUAUUUUAUUCUGUGAAGAAGAUGGGACUGAGAGAGUUAUACUGAAAGGAUUGUUCUGUAACAUACAUGAAUGCUUGGAAGUGCAUUUGGGCACCUCAGUAUUGAGUAUAAUACUAUAAGUAUUAAAAGUAAUAACAUAAACUAACCUGGAACACCAUUUCCACUUCAAGUGAAAAUAAGUACAGGUGAGACAUGAUUAUCUUUUGAAUGUGUUUAGAGCUGAUUCAAUCCCUCAAUACCAUUUACCCCAUACCCCUAGCAAUAUUCCCCCUCUGUCUUUGAGCACCUACUCAGAUAUUCCAUCAAACCUUUUUCUAACUCAAUUUUUCCAUGUCCAAGUAGUCAAGUCGCCUGUCUUUCAGUAAUGCUCAUGUUUGGUUUUGGGUCUCCUUUACUUUCUACUUGUAAAAUCAUUUUCCAAGUACUAUCGAGUUAAUCUUCCAAAAUUUUCAUAUCCCACUCAUCUCACUCAUUUUUCUCAGAAUUCCCUUAGUUGUAAGUGCUGUCUGUCUACCGUGAAAAGAUACAGUGUCACCCUCCUCUGGGGCAAGCAGUUACAAGGACCUAUCUUGGAAUCAGAGAUAGGGGCACCUGUCAGACACUAAACCUAGAAACACCCUGAACUUGUAAUUGUGCUCUCCAGAGCCUUGAGAGAUAAACAGACUAAGCUUAGGCAUUCUAUUAGAGCAAUCAAAUGGACUUUUAGAUCAUGUUAUCCAAACAGAAAUUACUCCAUUUUCAUAGUUAACUAACUUCAAUGGGAAUGAUGGGUUGUUGGCCUAGAAAAUGAAUGAUAGAAAAAAUAACAAAAAAGUAGGUAUAGUUAUUGGAAACCAACAGAAACACAUUAGAAAUCAGAAUCAGGUACUUUUCCAGUGGUCAAUGAUCAGUAUUUUCCUAUAAAGGAAAUAGGUAACCUAUAGGUUUUGUCUAUAAUAUUCUAGCUCUAGCAGCCACAAUCCAGACAUAAAUUGGAGUAUCAUAGAUUUUUGUAAGUUUAUAAUCUAUAUCAGUUCUAAACUUAAUACUAAGAAAAUAUUUAUACUACUUUCAUAGUUUAUAAUAUAAAAUCUUCUUUAAAAUCUUCUUCAUGGAAAUUUGAAGUCAUUUGUUAGAGUUACUACAUCAUAGGAAAGAACAUCAUCAAUAUUGCAUGCAAAUUCACCCUAAAUCCUGGAGACCCACACGGAUUUGUGACCAGAAUGGAAGCUCACUGCAGUAGAAUGACAGAUAAAAACUUACACAAUGUAUAAAUAACAAGAUUCUCAUUAUUUUGUAAAGCCAAUCUCUUUUUUAUGGUCAUAAUAUCAACAUUAAUAGAAUAAACCUUCUUGAUCACCUAAGGUUAAAAUUCCUAUUUUGGCUUUUCCAUCCAUACAGAAGGAUCAUUAUGGUUAAAAGAGCUGAGCAGAUCUUUUAGCUUCCAUUUUUUAGUAAUGUAUUAAUCUUGGAGCUGUUUUGUAUCCUUAGGAAAAUUGUAAGUUUAGUGUUGCCAUCAAAUACUUGAAAAAUGCAAGUUUGCAAAAGCUUGGCAUACUCAUUUAAGCUGACAUUAUAACGGUUGGCUGUGUUGAAAAAGAAUGUAAAUUAUCAGAAUCGUAUAUAGGUUAGAAUUCAAUUGCAAUUGAUAUUUCAUGUGUAAACAUGUGUAGUAUAACAAAUGAGCAAGUAAGCCCAGUCCCUCUCACUCACAUGCAACUUUUGACUGAUCUAGUGAUUCUUCUCCCCCAUUUAAUUUGCAAAAACAGUUUGAUAUUUCCUGGCAGAUCAAAAUAUCUACAGUACUUUCAGAGUGUCACAAAGGGACUAGAUCACCUCUUCUAUUUUGUCAGUAGAGUUAUUGAUCAUUCUGACAUUCUAAACGCCAUCAUACAAAUCCUCUACAUCUAUGAUACUAACUCACUUAGAUCUGCUGAGCAAGAUAAUACCUAUUGAGACUUAUAAGAAUCGCUGGAAUAGAAAAGUAAUUUCAAGACUCUGCUAUUGAUGAAAUUUCCGAGAGCCCAAUAUUCAAGAGCACAUAGAGCUACCACUUCAAAUGUAACAGGCAAGUUGCUACACCUUAUACUCUAAACCUCAAAGAAAGGAUGCAUAAAACUGAGAGGCCCAUUCAUUGGAGGUAGCACACAGCAUGUGCAAGUGUGCUACUGUGUUCCACACACUAAGUUAACUAUAAAUUUACUAGAGGUUAAAGGCAAAGAGUAAAAGACAGCUCCACAGUAAAACAGAGUUCCAUGUAUGCUUUUCUCCUAAUGAGAUCCUAUGUCCCAGCAAAACCAAGCAUACAUAAAAUGUCCAUGGUUAUGUAGGGGUGGUACACAUAGCACCUGUUCUACUAAGGAGGAAACAAUUUUACCAAGGUCACAGCCCUAGCUAACAGGGAAAGUUGGUUGCAAAGCUCAGGAACCAAGUGCAAUGCUGUGUAGAGAAAGAAAUCUGUUGAUAACAUAAUGACAAUCAAUCUGAAUGUCAAGUUAAACACAAAUAAAAAUGCUCUGUAAUUUCUUCUUACAUGUGAUUAUAUUUUGCAAGGUUAAGUACUAGUAAAGUCUUCUGUAAAAGAGCUUGUCAGCAUGGUAAUUAUGGCCAAAAACUACUCCAAAGGAGGAAUUAGCAAAAAAAAAAAAAAAAAAGUGACUGAGCACUGAAUUGGAUGAAGGGCAUAAAGUUAUGCCACGUACCAUAUCUUAAACUUUCUGGAAAAAUUGAAAAUAUUUAUAUAUCUUUUCCCUCUAUGGUUUGUUUUCUUCUAUAACAGUCAAUCUAGUCUCUAUGUGUUUCUUUUCUCACAACAUGUGAUAGCACCUAGAUUUCUUUUGUACAAAUGAGCUCAGGAUCUGUUUGAAAAUUCAGAAGAUAGAGGAGGAAAAGUUAGUGUAUACACAGCAUAAGGUAGAAUGCAUAGAUAAGACUUUUUGCAGGUGCUAACAAUUUUCUCUUUAAUUUGCUACUGCUCUGAGGAGCUAGCAUUCUAAGCCUGUCUGUUCAAGACCCAGAUGUAGAACUAGUUACCUAAUCAAAAAAUCAGUUAAUUUGACUUGUCUUUAAUCCAUUUCACCCAACUCUCUAGGGCUACAGAUAACCAAGGAAUAAUAAUGUGAAUCAAAAAGCAAUAAAUAUCAUGGAAAAAGAGAGAAAGAAUUUAAAACAAUCCCUUCUGACUUUAAAAACCUAAUUAGAAAUCAGAUAUAGAUUUUUCAUGAUAAAAUCUCAUUUAAAAAUAGAGCAAAUUCCUGCUUAUAUGUCAUUCACAGUGCU